This 327-nucleotide ribosomal RNA is filed under the name uncultured eukaryote. RNAcentral's name for it is "partial 18S ribosomal RNA". It matches the Rfam family "Eukaryotic small subunit ribosomal RNA", at positions 1469 to 1796 of the family's 1831-position model. The record is from RNAcentral.
ACCCUUAGAUGUCCUGGGCCGCACGCGCGCUACAAUGAUGCAACCAACGAGUGCUGCUCCUUGGCCGAGAGGCCCGGGGAACCUUGCAAACUGCAUCGUGCUGGGGAUAGAUGAUUGCAAUUCUUCAUCUUGAACGAGGAAUGCCUUGUAAGCGUGAGUCAUCAACUCGCGCUGAAUACGUCCCUGCCCUUUGUACACACCGCCCGUCGCUCCUACCGAUUGGAUGGCCCGGCGAAGUGGUCGGACCGGCGGCCCAGGCACGGUCGUGCCACGGGCCCCGGGAAGUCCACUGAGCCUUGCCAUCUAGAGGAAGGAGAAGUCGUAACA